CGGCUGAAGAGCAGUGGAUUGUGCCGCUGACAGCCCUCCCCUGCCCAUAUGGGGCAGGGGAAUGAAAUCACAAUAAAGGAAAAAAAUGCAAGAAAUCAAUAAUUCCAACAACAGACUUAAGCCUGUAUGGAAUAUAGUAAAAUGGGAGACAGGAUGACCAGCCACAGAACAGGAUAACAUCUCUAUUGAACUGAGUGGAAAGGCUAUACAUGAUGAGUUACAGAUGGACAUGUACUGGGAGAAUACAGCAAUAGUGAUGUUCGAUCGGCAUGGACAAGUGUUUGCCACCCACGCCAUAGAAGCUGUAUGUCCAGUAUAAGGAGCAAACAUGCUUUAUUCCUUGAUGGUGUAAUGAUUGUAUUUGUUGUGAACAAAUGAAUUAUGUAUUGAACUAAAGACACUUACAUUUGAUUUUCUGGUGUUGGACUUGCUAGAAGCAAGAACUGGUUUUAUAGCGGUUAUUAAACCAAACAUAUUGUAAUUGUAUCUGUUAGUAUCUAAUGGUCCAAUACGGGGUUGACUUGCGAGAGUUGAAUGAUUAUGUGAAUCUUGUGCAGUUGUUUUAUUGUGGAGAUGAAAAUAUAACAGAGUUGAACAAGAA
Molecule: long non-coding RNA, 601 nt
Organism: Schistocerca piceifrons (Central American locust)
Lineage: Eukaryota; Metazoa; Arthropoda; Insecta; Orthoptera; Acrididae
Exons: 2
Source: RefSeq, a predicted model, not a curated record